GAGAUUACCCCAGUAGCGGCGAGCGAACGGGGAGGAGCCCAGAGCCUGAAUCAGCAUGUGUGUUAGUGGAAGCGUCUGGAAAGGCGCGCGAUACAGGGUGACAGCCCCGUACACAAAAGCGCAUGUGCUGUGAGCUCGAUGAGUAGGGCGGGACACGUGGUAUCCUGUCUGAAUAUGGGGGGACCAUCCUCCAAGGCUAAAUACUCCUGACUGACCGAUAGUGAACCAGUACCGUGAGGGAAAGGCGAAAAGAAC
This 255-nucleotide ribosomal RNA is filed under the name Salmonella enterica subsp. enterica serovar Derby. RNAcentral describes it as "partial 23S ribosomal RNA". It matches the Rfam family "Bacterial large subunit ribosomal RNA", at positions 231 to 524 of the family's 2925-position model. Lineage: Bacteria; Pseudomonadati; Pseudomonadota; Gammaproteobacteria; Enterobacterales; Enterobacteriaceae. The record is from RNAcentral.